AACGAACGCUGGCGGCAUGCCUAACACAUGCAAGUCGAACGAGACCUUCGGGUCUAGUGGCGCACGGGUGCGUAACGCGUGGGAACCUGCCCUUAGGUUCGGAAUAACUCCCCGAAAGGGGUGCUAAUACCGGAUAAUUUCGUCGGACCAAAGAUUUAUCGCCUUUGGAUGGGCCCGCGUUGGAUUAGCUAGUUGGUAGGGUAAAAGCCUACCAAGGCGACGAUCCAUAGCUGGUCUGAGAGGAUGAUCAGCCACACUGGGACUGAGACACGGCCCAGACUCCUACGGGAGGCAGCAGUGGGGAAUAUUGGACAAUGGGCGAAAGCAUGAUCCAGCAAUGCCGCGUGAGUGAUGAAGGCCUUAGGGUUGUCAAGCUCUUUUACCCGGGAUGAUAAUGACAGUACCGGGAGAAUAAGCUCCGGCUAACUCCGUG
RNAcentral lists this ribosomal RNA (433 nucleotides) under uncultured bacterium. Its description in RNAcentral is "partial 16S ribosomal RNA". It matches the Rfam family "Bacterial small subunit ribosomal RNA", at positions 29 to 507 of the family's 1533-position model. The record is from RNAcentral.